GACGAACGCUGGCGGCGUGCUUAACACAUGCAAGUCGAACGGAAAGGCCCUGCUUUUGUGGGGUGCUCGAGUGGCGAACGGGUGAGUAACACGUGAGUAACCUGCCCUUGACUUUGGGAUAACUUCAGGAAACUGGGGCUAAUACCGGAUAGGAGCUCCUGCUGCAUGGUGGGGGUUGGAAAGUUUCGGCGGUUGGGGAUGGACUCGGGGCUUAUCAGCUUGUUGGUGGGGGAGUGGCUUACCAAGGAUUGGGCGGGUGGCCGGCGUGGGAGGGUGACCGGGCGCAGGGGGGGGGGGGUGGGGGCCGGAGGGCUGCGGGAGGCAUCAGUGGGGAAUAUUGCGCAAUGGGCGGAAGCCUGAUGCAGCAACGCCGCGUGCGGGAUGACGGCCUUCGGGUUGUAAACCGCUUUCGCCUGUGACGAAGCGUGAGUGACGGUAAUGGGUAAAGAAGCACCGGCUAACUACGUG
RNAcentral lists this ribosomal RNA (468 nucleotides) under uncultured bacterium. Its description in RNAcentral is "partial 16S ribosomal RNA". It matches the Rfam family "Bacterial small subunit ribosomal RNA", at positions 28 to 507 of the family's 1533-position model. The record is from RNAcentral.